This 253-nucleotide ribosomal RNA is filed under the name uncultured bacterium. RNAcentral's name for it is "partial 16S ribosomal RNA". It matches the Rfam family "Bacterial small subunit ribosomal RNA", at positions 524 to 776 of the family's 1533-position model. The record is from RNAcentral.
GACGGAGGGUGCAAACGUUACUCGGAAUCACUGGGCAUAAAGCGCACGUAGGCGGCCCGCUAAGUCGGAUGUGAAAGCCCACGGCUCAACCGUGGAACUGCAUCCGAUACUGGCGGGCUCGAGGAUGGUUGGGGUGAGUGGAACUCCAGGUGGAGCGGUGAAAUGCGUAGAUAUCUGGAGGAACACCGGUGGCGAAAGCGGCUCACUGGACCAUCACUGACGCUGAGGUGCGAAAGCUAGGGGAGCGAACGGG